AUUGAACGCUGGCGGCAUGCCUUACACAUGCAAGUCGAACGGUAACAGGUCUUCGGAUGCUGACGAGUGGCGAACGGGUGAGUAAUACAUCGGAACGUGCCUAGUAGUGGGGGAUAACUACUCGAAAGAGUGGCUAAUACCGCAUGAGAUCUACGGAUGAAAGCAGGGGAUCGCAAGACCUUGUGCUACUAGAGCGGCCGAUGGCAGAUUAGGUAGUUGGUGGGAUAAAAGCUUACCAAGCCGACGAACUGUAGCUGGUCUGAGAGGACGAUCAGCCACACUGGGACUGAGACACGGCCCAGACUCCUACGGGAGGCGGCAGUGGGGAAUUUUGGACAAUGGGCGAAAGCCUGAUCCAGCUAUGCCGCGUGCAGGAUGAAGGCAUUCGGGUUGUAAACUGCUUUUGUACGGAACGAAAAGCCCCGGGUUAAUACCCUGGGGUCAUGACGGUACCGUAAGAAUAAGCACCGGCUAACUACGUGCCAGCCGCCGCCGUAA
Molecule: ribosomal RNA, 498 nt
Filed under: uncultured bacterium
Lineage: Bacteria
Description: partial 16S ribosomal RNA
Rfam family: Bacterial small subunit ribosomal RNA
Source: RNAcentral